UGCACGAGAUAAACAACUCCUGAAACUUCCUCCCCAUACAAGGCUUCCCACCGCAGACUGCUACAGGGACCCUAAUGCUCUUCCUGUCUGACAUCAAUGACAACGUCCCGACUCUCCGGCCACGUUCCCGCUACAUGGAGGUCUGUGAGUCUGCUGUGCAUGAGCCCCUCCACAUCGAGGCAGAGGAUCCGGACCUGGAGCCGUUCUCUGACCCAUUUACAUUUGAAUUGGACAAUACCUGGGGAAAUGCGGAGGACACAUGGAAGUUGGGGAGAAAUUGGGGUCAAUCAGUUGAACUUUUAACCUUGAGAAGCCUGCCACGUGGUAAUUACUUGGUGCCACUCUUCAUUGGAGACAAACAGGGACUUUCCCAGAAGCAAACUGUCCAUGUAAGGAUCUGCCCCUGUGCCAGUGGGCUCACGUGUGUGGAGCAUGCAGAUGCAGAAGUGGGGCUUCUUGUGGGGGCCCUGUUCCCUGUCUGUGCAGCGUUUGUGGCUCUGGCAGUGGCUCUGCUUUUUCUGUUGCGAUGCUAUUUUGUGCUUGAACCUAAGAGGCAUGGAUGCUCUGUAUCCAAUGAUGAAGGCCACCAAACACUGGUCAUGUAUAAUGCGGAGAGCAAAGCUACUUCAGCCCAGACAUGGUCAGAUGUUGAAGGCCAGAGGCCGGCUCUGCUCAUCUGCACAGCUGCAGCAGGACCCACGCAGGGAGUUAAGGGUUAUGGCAAGCCCUUUGAGCCAAGAGGUGUGAAAAACAUACACUCUACUCCUGCUUACCCAGAUGCCACAAUGCACAGACAACUCCUGGCUCCGGUGGAAGGAAGGAUGGCAGAGACAUUGAAUCAGAAACUCCAUGUUGCCAAUGUGCUGGAAGAUGACCCCGCCUACCUACCUCACGUCUACAGCGAGGAAGGGGAGUGUGGAGGGGCCCCAUCCCUCAGCUCUCUGGCCAGCUUGGAACAGGAGUUGCAACCUGAUUUGCUGGACUCUUUGGGUUCAAAAGCGACUCCGUUUGAGGAAAUAUAUUCAGAGUCAGGUGUUCCUUCCUAAAAAAAAAGUCUAUUUUGGAGAAUUGAAAUAAUUCAUGGAAGGGAAUCACUAUUCAGGGAUUUUUCCCCUUUGCUCUUCUUUUCCCUCCUUAAAAGAAAAAUUACCUUCUAGUCCUAGGAUGAGGACACACUAUUAGUUUGAAUUAAAUGCUUUGAUAUUCUCAGAUCAGCCAUCUUGAACCAAAGCAAAACCACAAGUUACGCUUUCUUAAAAUUUGAUUUGUCAUAUUUUCUAGAGAAACUUGAAUUUAAUUGUGUUAUUCUUAGCUUCCACUGGCAGCCUAGCUUUGAGGGUAAAUGAAAAUAUAACCCAUAGAUUACCCAGCCACUUGGGAACAGCAGGUAAUACUGAAGAAAAAUAAAAAUAGAUUUUGAAAACGUUA
RNAcentral lists this small RNA (1428 nucleotides) under Pan troglodytes (chimpanzee). Its description in RNAcentral is "processed transcript". The record is from RNAcentral. Lineage: Eukaryota; Metazoa; Chordata; Mammalia; Primates; Hominidae.